CAAAUAUUGAUAAAUUUAUGCAGAGUGAUGUAGAGAUGUCCAAAAUUAUGUCACCCCCAAACGUAGUUAAUACAUGGUCCUCAAUGAAUAAUUAACAAUGGUUAAAAGACAUAAUUGAAGGACAGUUUUAUAAAAAUCAAAAGUGGUAGACAAUACUCCCUUGAUCAAUAUGUAGGUGGUGGUGAGAAGAUGUUUCCUACCGUACCAUCAUCUGGAGGUGGAGGUAUUCGCGCUAAAAUCUCUCUCAUCAUUGCUGACUGCUGCACCAUCUCCUUUUGAAGUCCGCCAACACGUGUCUCCAUUCGGCCCAGACGUUCCCAAGUCUCAUUCACUCGCAACUCGAUGCUGUCCACCCGGCCCACGUACAUACUCAGUCGACCAUUCAUAGUUUCGAUCUCCCUCCUGGCUACAUCAGAAUCCAGGUGAGCGACUCGUACCAUAUCAGUGGCGAUGUAGAUGUCACCUCGGGCUGUCUGCAUAUCAGUAGUCAAAGCCCCUAUAGCCUGCUGGAGACCCUGUAUGUCGCGGUUGGUUCCCGUGGUGGCAAAUAUCUGAUGUCACAAUUGUGUAUCCACUUCAAUCUGUGGUGGUGAAACUUGUGGCAUCUGUUGAUCUGCAGGCACCUGACCCUACUCUUCCUGAUGCCUGCGGCGCUCAUUCUCUUGCUUUUCCUUGUGCUUUAUCCUGGGUUUGUCUUGAGCUUCCAGUGUACUGCGCUUUACAAGAAGGCUGGGUUUUGCAAGUGCCUCCCUUGGUGCGAUAUUGACUCCAGCAAUCAUGUAUAUGCCGGAUAUGAGGAUAGGAAAAAUCAUUGAACUGUGCCCGUCUCCCAGAGUACCCACAUGAUGGAUCUGAUUAUAGCAGAGAGUGGCGAGAUCGACCUUAUUUUCUCGCACCAAGUGAUAGAUGAACCUGGCUGUGGGAUUUGUAAAUGUGGUCCUAUGCGAGGUCGGUUCAAUGUUAUGGCACAUAAACAACCACAAGAUGGUUAUAGACGGUGUCAGCUCAAUCUAGUGCCAUGCAGUGGUAGGAAGUGGCCAUGCAUUUUGUCGCCCCAAUAGGAUCUCUGCCACUUCAUUCCAAUUGAAAUCGCUCGGGAUGGAGGUUAUGUUGUCCCACGUGAGCUGAUAGUAGUCAUGAAUAACCUCUGGUGAGAACAUAAUCCACUGGCACCUGACCUAUGUCUGCUGCAAGUGGUCGGACCUUGGUGUGUCAAUCUCUACAUUGAAAUUUGCGUAGAAUUCUCUCACCAGUGAUUCAUAGAUCUGAUGUGGCUAGUCUACUACCUUUGCCCACCCACAGUUAUCCACCAAAGUGAUCAACUCAAAACCUGGAAAAUCCUCUAAUUUU
This 1350-nucleotide long non-coding RNA is filed under the name Olea europaea subsp. europaea. The record is from RNAcentral. Lineage: Eukaryota; Viridiplantae; Streptophyta; Magnoliopsida; Lamiales; Oleaceae.